This is an RNA transcript of Musa acuminata AAA Group (dessert banana), 1864 nucleotides long. It is a transcript of the gene named protein FLOURY ENDOSPERM 6, chloroplastic-like, with no coding region annotated. The transcript has 8 exons. Lineage: Eukaryota; Viridiplantae; Streptophyta; Magnoliopsida; Zingiberales; Musaceae. The record is from RefSeq and is a predicted model, not a curated record.
AUGCGAUGAGCGGAUCCAAGCAACAGAGAAGCGCUUCCCCUCCUAGGCGAAUGGCUUUCGGUUCCCCUCCCACGCUCCCCACGCCCCCCACACUUUCGCAUAUAAAUCAAGCGCCUUUUACCCUUUCCUGCGUCGCUUCCACUGAGAACAAGAAAUGCGACAGAACCGUUUUGCUCCUUCAUGAGCUUCCCUGCAAGUCCCACGAAUCGUUCGACGAAAUGCCUCAAAAAUGACUUGCCUCCCACUCCCGAAUCCCUCUCUCGUCCUUCUCUCCUCCUCCUCCUCCUUCUGUGCCUCGCGCCAUAGCUGCCUCCGCCGCUCACCUCCUCUUCUCUCAUUCCUCCUCCGCUACCCUGCCUUGUCGCCGCCUCGGAGAGCACAUGCACCCCUCUCCCCAUCUCCGUUUCACGCCAACGACCCCUUCGUAAGGUUUUCCCGUCCAUCGCGGAGGUCGAGGAGAAGGGCGACGAGGGAAGAGGAUGUGUCUGGGAUGAUGGAUGCAGGAGCGGAUUUGGAGUCCCAGAUUCACGAGUUCAUGCACAAGUCCGGAAAUCCUAAUGAUUUUCCCACCAGAGUGGAGCUGAUUGCAGCGGGGAGGUAUGAUCUCGUCGAGGCCAUCACCAUACGUGGUGACUGGCUCACCUUCGGAUGGGAUUCCAAGGACAAGAAUACCGUCGACAGUGAUACUAAUGCUCUGGGAUCGACAGAGUUGGAAUCUGACGGCCGGGUGAUUCUAGAAGAUAGCAGAGUAUCACAAGAACGAUUCUUUGACAAUUCUUGCGGGAAUGUUGUCGUUACCAACGAUGUUCUUGAUUCUGAAGAUGAUCCUCUUAUGGCCUUUACUUCAGGGAGAUUGAUGGAAAGGGAGAGUGUGGGGACUGGUGGAGGGAUUGAAGGAAUUUUGAGCAGGCUUGAAAGAGAAAGGAAUUUGUUUCUAUCUAUAGGUAAGAAAGAGACUGGUUGGGCAUCACCGAGGAGCAAUAAACAUUUCCUAAGAGAGACAGCUGGUGAUAUUAUUGCUUCUUAUGACAAAAUCAUAGUGGACCCUAGCUUCUUAAAUAGUGAUUUAAAUGAUCCUAAGAUGCAUAAGAAAGCUCAGGAUUUGGCAGAAGCUGGCAACGGAACUAAUGCACUGGACUUUGACAUAAAUCAAAUAUGGUUGCGACUUCAGCAUCUGGAGUCAGAUUUGGCCUCUGCAUUACACUUACUGACAUCCAGAGCCGAUGCUGUCACUGCAGGGAAGGGCCAACAAAUUUCAACAGAUGAAUUGCAUAGUCUCUCUGAUGCAUGGGAAUUUCAAGAGACUGAAAUAGUCAGUGCCCAGGAUAAGCUAAGGUCUACUCGGGCAAGAAUGGCAGCACUUGAAGGAAAGAUGGCACUUGAGAUCAUAGAAGCAAAGAAAUUACUGGAAGAGAAAAAGAAAAGAGUUGAUGCUGCUCAAAAUGCUCUAAGCCUUCUACAGACGGUUUGCAUAGUUUGGCCUAAUUCUGCUUCAGAGGUUUUACUGGCUGGAUCCUUUGAUGGAUGGAAUAGUCAGCUGCCGUUCCAGGAUUUGGAUCUGAAACGGACUCUUGAAGCUGGUGUUUUGCUGUUCAAUCUAUCUGAGCUGGAUCAAUAAAGAAAGAGAAGGAUGGAAAGUUCAGGCUGGGGAAUCUUUUCCUUGUACCUAAAGUUGUAUCCUGGCAGAUACGAGAUCAAGUUUAUUGUUGAUGGUGUCUGGAAAAUCGACCCACUGCGGCCCCUUGUGCACAACAAUGGACAUGAAAAUAACCUUCUUAUUAUCACCUGAUACAUGUAAAUUGUGCGAUUUUUAGAUAGCUUAAAAGGUACAAUUCAAUCGAACCAAAUUAUCCAAUUCAAUUCA